This 450-nucleotide RNase P RNA is filed under the name Candidatus Falkowbacteria bacterium CG10_big_fil_rev_8_21_14_0_10_43_10. RNAcentral's name for it is "RNase P RNA component class A". It matches the Rfam family "Bacterial RNase P class A". From Rfam's summary of the family: Ribonuclease P (RNase P) is a ubiquitous endoribonuclease, found in archaea, bacteria and eukarya as well as chloroplasts and mitochondria. Its best characterised activity is the generation of mature 5'-ends of tRNAs by cleaving the 5'-leader elements of precursor-tRNAs. Cellular RNase Ps are ribonucleoproteins. Lineage: Bacteria; Candidatus Falkowiibacteriota. The record is from RNAcentral.
CAGGGUAAACAGGCAAUCGCCUUGUCCCGCAGUAUUCGGGACGGGGAGGAAAGUCCGGACACCAACAAAAGGCUAGUGGGUAACGCCCACCGUCCCGCAAUACUGCGGGAUAGGGAAAGUGCCACAGAGACAAUACUAGUCCCGCAUUACUGCGGGACAAAAGGUGAAAAGUAGCGCGAUAUUGAUAUUCAUUUUGAGGAUAUCCUAAUGAAUAUUAAUUACGCGCUUUCCGCGCUGGCGACAGCACGCGAUGGUAAACCCUAGCCGGUGCAAGAGCAAACUUAUCUUACCUUACCUUAAUCCUCUCCUAGCCAGGAGGGGAAAACAGGAGAGGUGGAUAAAGGAACGUAGCUCGCAUGAUCCCGAUGGCAACAUCGGGGCUAGAUAAAUGAUUGUCGUCCUUAUAGCAAUAUAGGGGUACAGAAUCCGGCUUAUCGCUUGCCCUGAAUU